Molecule: ribosomal RNA, 497 nt
Filed under: uncultured bacterium
Lineage: Bacteria
Description: partial 16S ribosomal RNA
Rfam family: Bacterial small subunit ribosomal RNA
Source: RNAcentral
GAUGAACGCUGGCGGCGUGCCUAAUACAUGCAAGUCGAGCGAACAGACGAGGAGCUUGCUCCUCUGACGUUAGCGGCGGACGGGUGAGUAACACGUGGAUAACCUACCUAUAAGACUGGGAUAACUUCGGGAAACCGGAGCUAAUGCCGGAUAAUAUAUUGAACCGCAUGGUUCAAUAGUGAAAGACGGUUUUGCUGUCACUUAUAGAUGGAUCCGCGCCGCAUUAGCUAGUUGGUAAGGUAACGGCUUACCAAGGCAACGAUGCGUAGCCGACCUGAGAGGGUGAUCGGCCACACUGGAACUGAGACACGGUCCAGACUCCUACGGGAGGCAGCAGUAGGGAAUCUUCCGCAAUGGGCGAAAGCUUGACGGAGCAACGCCGCGUGAGUGAUGAAGGUCUUCGGAUCGUAAAACUCUGUUAUUAGGGAAGAACAAAUGUGUAAGUAACUAUGCACGUCUUGACGGUACCUAAUCAGAAAGCCACCGCUAACUACGUG